GCUCAUUACAACAGCCUUAAUUUACUUGACCUUGACAACCUACUUGGAUAACUGUGGUAAUUCUAGAGCUAAUACAUGCACCAAAGCUCCGAUCCUCGCGGAGAGGAGCGCAUUUGUUCGCCACAAAACCAAGCGCCCUUCUGGGCGUCCAGUGCUGAACCAGAACAACUCAGCUGAUCGCACGGUCUUGCACCGGCGACGUGUCUUUCAAGUGUCUGCCUUAUCAACUUUCGAUGGUAGUGUACCUGACUACCAUGGUUGUGACGGGUAACGGAGGAUAAGGGCUCGACUCCGGAGAAGGGGCCUGAGAAAUGGCCACUACGUCUAGGGAUGGCAGCAGGCGCGCAAAUUACCCACUCUCAAUGCGAGGAGGUAGUGACGAGAAAUAACAAGACCGUUCUCCUACGAGGCCGGUUAUUGGAAUGGGUACAAUUUAAACCCUUUAACGAGUAUCUAUGAGAGGGCAAGUCUGGUGCCAGCAGCCGCGGUAAUUCCAGCU
RNAcentral lists this ribosomal RNA (499 nucleotides) under Helicotylenchus pseudorobustus. RNAcentral's name for it is "SSU rRNA". It matches the Rfam family "Eukaryotic small subunit ribosomal RNA", at positions 96 to 590 of the family's 1831-position model. The record is from RNAcentral. Lineage: Eukaryota; Metazoa; Nematoda; Chromadorea; Rhabditida; Hoplolaimidae.